UACGUAGGGUGCAAGCGUUAAUCGGAAUUACUGGGCGUAAAGCGUGCGCAGGCGGUUGUGUAAGUCUGUCGUGAAAUCCCCGGGCCCAACCUGGGAAUUGCGAUGGAGACUGCACGGCUAGAGUGUGUCAGAGGGGGGUAGAAUUCCACGUGUAGCAGUGGAAUGCGUAGAUAUGUGGAGGAACACCGAUGGCGAAGGCAGCCCCCUGGGAUAACACUGACGCUCAUGCACGAAAGCGUGGGGAGCAAACAGG
RNAcentral lists this ribosomal RNA (253 nucleotides) under uncultured bacterium. RNAcentral describes it as "partial 16S ribosomal RNA". It matches the Rfam family "Bacterial small subunit ribosomal RNA", at positions 524 to 776 of the family's 1533-position model. The record is from RNAcentral.